Molecule: transfer RNA, 78 nt
Filed under: Aspergillus cristatus
Lineage: Eukaryota; Fungi; Ascomycota; Eurotiomycetes; Eurotiales; Aspergillaceae
Rfam family: tRNA
About the family: Transfer RNA (tRNA) molecules are approximately 80 nucleotides in length. Their secondary structure includes four short double-helical elements and three loops (D, anti-codon, and T loops). Further hydrogen bonds mediate the characteristic L-shaped molecular structure. tRNAs have two regions of fundamental functional importance: the anti-codon, which is responsible for specific mRNA codon recognition, and the 3' end, to which the tRNAs corresponding amino acid is attached (by aminoacyl-tRNA synthetases). tRNAs cope with the degeneracy of the genetic code in two manners: having more than one tRNA (with a specific anti-codon) for a particular amino acid; and 'wobble' base-pairing, i.e. permitting non-standard base-pairing at the 3rd anti-codon position.
Source: Rfam by way of RNAcentral
GGUCCUGUAGCUCAGUCGGUCGGUUAGAGCGUGGUGCUAAUAACGCCAAGGUCGCGAGUUCGACCCUCGUCGGGACCA